CCCUUAGAUGUCAUGGGCCGCACGCGCGCUACACUGAGUGUCUGAGAUACGAGUCUGCCUGGUCCGGCAAGGUCUAGGUAAUCGCUAAAAGACACAUCAUGCUUGGGAUAGAUUAUUGCAAAUAUUAAUCUUGAACGAGGAAUUCCCAGUAAGCGCAAGUCAACAGCUUGCGUUGAUUACGUCCCUGCCCUUUGUACACACCGCCCGUCGCUACUACUGAUUGGAUGUUUAAGCGAGGUUCUCGAACUGCUAGCGACUUAGCUUCGGUGAGGUCGCAGUGUGGGAAGUGAACCUAGCUUUGGUGUCUAGAGGAAGUAAAAGUCGUAACA
This 329-nucleotide ribosomal RNA is filed under the name uncultured eukaryote. Its description in RNAcentral is "partial 18S ribosomal RNA". It matches the Rfam family "Eukaryotic small subunit ribosomal RNA", at positions 1470 to 1796 of the family's 1831-position model. The record is from RNAcentral.